This 2815-nucleotide ribosomal RNA is filed under the name Staphylococcus aureus. Its description in RNAcentral is "bacterial LSU rRNA". It matches the Rfam family "Bacterial large subunit ribosomal RNA". The record is from RNAcentral. Lineage: Bacteria; Bacillati; Bacillota; Bacilli; Caryophanales; Staphylococcaceae.
AGGGCGGACGGGGGAUGCCUUGGCACUAGAAGCCGGUGAAGGACGUUACUAACGACGAUAUGCUUUGGGGAGCUGUAAGUAAGCUUUGAUCCAGAGAUUUCCGAAUGGGGAAACCCAGCAUGAGUUAUGUCAUGUUAUCGAUAUGUGAAUACAUAGCAUAUCAGAAGGCACACCCGGAGAACUGAAACAUCUUAGUACCCGGAGGAAGAGAAAGAAAAUUCGAUUCCCUUAGUAGCGGCGAGCGAAACGGGAAGAGCCCAAACCAACAAGCUUGCUUGUUGGGGUUGUAGGACACUCUAUACGGAGUUACAAAGGACGACAUUAGACGAAUCAUCUGGAAAGAUGAAUCAAAGAAGGUAAUAAUCCUGUAGUCGAAAAUGUUGUCUCUCUUGAGUGGAUCCUGAGUACGACGGAGCACGUGAAAUUCCGUCGGAAUCUGGGAGGACCAUCUCCUAAGGCUAAAUACUCUCUAGUGACCGAUAGUGAACCAGUACCGUGAGGGAAAGGUGAAAAGCACCCCGGAAGGGGAGUGAAAUAGAACCUGAAACCGUGUGCUUACAAGUAGUCAGAGCCCGUUAAUGGGUGAUGGCGUGCCUUUUGUAGAAUGAACCGGCGAGUUACGAUUUGAUGCAAGGUUAAGCAGUAAAUGUGGAGCCGUAGCGAAAGCGAGUCUGAAUAGGGCGUUUAGUAUUUGGUCGUAGACCCGAAACCAGGUGAUCUACCCUUGGUCAGGUUGAAGUUCAGGUAACACUGAAUGGAGGACCGAACCGACUUACGUUGAAAAGUGAGCGGAUGAACUGAGGGUAGCGGAGAAAUUCCAAUCGAACCUGGAGAUAGCUGGUUCUCUCCGAAAUAGCUUUAGGGCUAGCCUCAAGUGAUGAUUAUUGGAGGUAGAGCACUGUUUGGACGAGGGGCCCCUCUCGGGUUACCGAAUUCAGACAAACUCCGAAUGCCAAUUAAUUUAACUUGGGAGUCAGAACAUGGGUGAUAAGGUCCGUGUUCGAAAGGGAAACAGCCCAGACCACCAGCUAAGGUCCCAAAAUAUAUGUUAAGUGGAAAAGGAUGUGGCGUUGCCCAGACAACUAGGAUGUUGGCUUAGAAGCAGCCAUCAUUUAAAGAGUGCGUAAUAGCUCACUAGUCGAGUGACACUGCGCCGAAAAUGUACCGGGGCUAAACAUAUUACCGAAGCUGUGGAUUGUCCUUUGGACAAUGGUAGGAGAGCGUUCUAAGGGCGUUGAAGCAUGAUCGUAAGGACAUGUGGAGCGCUUAGAAGUGAGAAUGCCGGUGUGAGUAGCGAAAGACGGGUGAGAAUCCCGUCCACCGAUUGACUAAGGUUUCCAGAGGAAGGCUCGUCCGCUCUGGGUUAGUCGGGUCCUAAGCUGAGGCCGACAGGCGUAGGCGAUGGAUAACAGGUUGAUAUUCCUGUACCACCUAUAAUCGUUUUAAUCGAUGGGGGGACGCAGUAGGAUAGGCGAAGCGUGCGAUUGGAUUGCACGUCUAAGCAGUAAGGCUGAGUAUUAGGCAAAUCCGGUACUCGUUAAGGCUGAGCUGUGAUGGGGAGAAGACAUUGUGUCUUCGAGUCGUUGAUUUCACACUGCCGAGAAAAGCCUCUAGAUAGAAAAUAGGUGCCCGUACCGCAAACCGACACAGGUAGUCAAGAUGAGAAUUCUAAGGUGAGCGAGCGAACUCUCGUUAAGGAACUCGGCAAAAUGACCCCGUAACUUCGGGAGAAGGGGUGCUCUUUAGGGUUAACGCCCAGAAGAGCCGCAGUGAAUAGGCCCAAGCGACUGUUUAUCAAAAACACAGGUCUCUGCUAAACCGUAAGGUGAUGUAUAGGGGCUGACGCCUGCCCGGUGCUGGAAGGUUAAGAGGAGUGGUUAGCUUCUGCGAAGCUACGAAUCGAAGCCCCAGUAAACGGCGGCCGUAACUAUAACGGUCCUAAGGUAGCGAAAUUCCUUGUCGGGUAAGUUCCGACCCGCACGAAAGGCGUAACGAUUUGGGCACUGUCUCAACGAGAGACUCGGUGAAAUCAUAGUACCUGUGAAGAUGCAGGUUACCCGCGACAGGACGGAAAGACCCCGUGGAGCUUUACUGUAGCCUGAUAUUGAAAUUCGGCACAGCUUGUACAGGAUAGGUAGGAGCCUUUGAAACGUGAGCGCUAGCUUACGUGGAGGCGCUGGUGGGAUACUACCCUAGCUGUGUUGGCUUUCUAACCCGCACCACUUAUCGUGGUGGGAGACAGUGUCAGGCGGGCAGUUUGACUGGGGCGGUCGCCUCCUAAAAGGUAACGGAGGCGCUCAAAGGUUCCCUCAGAAUGGUUGGAAAUCAUUCAUAGAGUGUAAAGGCAUAAGGGAGCUUGACUGCGAGACCUACAAGUCGAGCAGGGUCGAAAGACGGACUUAGUGAUCCGGUGGUUCCGCAUGGAAGGGCCAUCGCUCAACGGAUAAAAGCUACCCCGGGGAUAACAGGCUUAUCUCCCCCAAGAGUUCACAUCGACGGGGAGGUUUGGCACCUCGAUGUCGGCUCAUCGCAUCCUGGGGCUGUAGUCGGUCCCAAGGGUUGGGCUGUUCGCCCAUUAAAGCGGUACGCGAGCUGGGUUCAGAACGUCGUGAGACAGUUCGGUCCCUAUCCGUCGUGGGCGUAGGAAAUUUGAGAGGAGCUGUCCUUAGUACGAGAGGACCGGGAUGGACAUACCUCUGGUGUACCAGUUGUCGUGCCAACGGCAUAGCUGGGUAGCUAUGUGUGGACGGGAUAAGUGCUGAAAGCAUCUAAGCAUGAAGCCCCCCUCAAGAUGAGAUUUCCCAACUUCGGUUAU